Lasiosphaeris hirsuta is the source of this 108-nucleotide non-coding RNA. The record is from the annotation of a GenBank genome assembly. Lineage: Eukaryota; Fungi; Ascomycota; Sordariomycetes; Sordariales; Lasiosphaeriaceae.
GGUAACGUAGACGAGCGGUUAAGGCGCCACGUCAGGGUGAUCAAGCCUUGAUACAAUCUCUGGAUUUCGUGGUCCGAAAAGGCGUGAGUUCGAAUCUCACCGUUAUCA